Acanthochromis polyacanthus (spiny chromis) is the source of this 346-nucleotide long non-coding RNA. RefSeq lists it as uncharacterized. The record is from RefSeq and is a predicted model, not a curated record. Lineage: Eukaryota; Metazoa; Chordata; Actinopteri; Pomacentridae. The transcript has 4 exons.
UGGGUCUCCUCUUCAGGUAUUAAUACUGUGGAUCACUGUGGGUCUAUUCUUCAGGUAUUAAUACUGUGGAUCACUGUGGGUCUAUUCUUCAGGUAUUAAUACUGUGGAUCACUGUGAGUCUAUUCUUCAGGUAUUAAUACUGUGGAUCACUGUGAGUCUAUUCUUCAGGUAUUAAUACUGUGGAUCACUGUGAGUCUAUUCUUCAGGUAUUAAUACUGUGGAUCACUGUGGGUCUCCUCUUCAGGUAUUAAUACUGUGGAUCACUGUGAAUCUAUUCUUCAGGUAUUAAUACUGUGGAUCACUGUGAGUCUAUUCUUCAGGUAUCUGGGCUCUAAUUGAAUCAGAA